This 522-nucleotide ribosomal RNA is filed under the name Kryptoperidinium foliaceum. Its description in RNAcentral is "eukaryotic LSU rRNA". The stretch from base 155 to 309 matches the Rfam family "5.8S ribosomal RNA". The record is from RNAcentral. Lineage: Eukaryota; Dinophyceae; Peridiniales; Kryptoperidiniaceae.
UGAUAUGCACCACCGAUGUGAGGCUCUGCGUUCGAUGGUUAGACCUCAUGCAGAGGCUCGAGAGGAGCAUCGCGGGCUGCAGGCCUUUGGGUCCUGCCUCUUGCAUGCUCGUACGCACUUUACGCUUAGUCGUCUUGUGAUAUCGACCUGAAAACACUUUCAGCGAUGGAUACCUUGGCUCGAACAACAAUGAAGGGUGCAGCGAAGUGCGAGAAGCAUUGUGAAUUGCAGAAUUCCGUGAGCCAAUUGAAAACUGAAUGUAUAUUGCGCUUUCGGGAAAUGCCUGAGAGCAUGCCUACUUCAGCGUCCAUUUGYCAAUCGGCGAGAGUGCCCUGCAUCGCAGAAUACUCGCUUGAUGAGUGUUUAAGAAGUGUUCUUCUUCGACGCUUGCAGAGCUAAGAGUUAGCAUUGUGUGGCUUCGCUUGGCUGUUCAUGUUGCUGUGCUGUGAGGUUGUGCUUUGCUUGCUUGCGAUCAUUGGAGAAAAUGCCAUGAAGUUAGGUUAGGGAACCCGCCGAAUUUAA